UACAGAGGGGGCAAGCGUUGUUCGGAAUUACUGGGCGUAAAGGGCGCGUAGGUGGCCUUCUAAGUUGAACGUGAAAUCCCUGGGCUCAACCCAGGAACUGCGUCCAAGACUGGGAGGCUUGAAUCCGGGAGAGGGACGCGGAAUUCCAGGUGUAGCGGUGAAAUGCGUAGAUAUCUGGAGGAACACCGGUGGCGAAGGCGGCAUCCUGGACCGGUAUUGACACUGAGGCGCGAAAGCCAGGGGAGCAAACGGG
RNAcentral lists this ribosomal RNA (253 nucleotides) under uncultured bacterium. RNAcentral describes it as "partial 16S ribosomal RNA". It matches the Rfam family "Bacterial small subunit ribosomal RNA", at positions 524 to 776 of the family's 1533-position model. The record is from RNAcentral.